This 505-nucleotide ribosomal RNA is filed under the name uncultured bacterium. RNAcentral describes it as "partial 16S ribosomal RNA". It matches the Rfam family "Bacterial small subunit ribosomal RNA", at positions 28 to 507 of the family's 1533-position model. The record is from RNAcentral.
GACGAACGCUGGCGGCGUGCCUAAUACAUGCAAGUAGAACGCACAGUUUAUACCGUAGCUUGCUAAACCAUAAACUGUGAGUUACGAACGGGUGAGUAACCCGUAGGUAACCUUCCUGGUAGCGGGGGAUAACUAUUGGUACCGAUAGCUAAUACCGCAUAUUAUUGAUUAUUGCAUGAUAAUUCAUUGAAAGAUGCUAUUGCUUCACUACCAGAUGGACCUGCGUUGGAUUAGCUAGUAGGUGAGGUAACGGCUCACCUAGGCGACGAUACAUAGCCGACCUGAGAGGGAGGUCGGCCAAACUGGGACUGAGAAACGGCCCAGACUCCUACGGGAGGCAGCAGGAGGGAAUCUUCGGAAAUGGAGGAAAAGCUGACCGAGCAACGCCGGGUGAGUGAAGAAGGUUUUCGGAUCGUAAAGCUCUGUUGUAAGAGAAGAACGGGUGUGAGAGUGGAAAGUUCACACUGUGACGGUAUCUUACCAGAAAGGGACGGCUAACUACGUG